CUGCUGCAGAUAGUUAUAUUUACUCUUCUCCUCCACCACCUUACGAGUAUAAGUCGCCACCGCCACCAUCACCUUCACCACCACCUCCUUAUGUUUACAAAUCGCCACCUCCUCCAUCCCCAUCACCUCCACCACCUUAUGAGCACAAGGCUCCUGCUUAUGAGUACAAGUCACCACCACCACCAACUCCUUCACCACCACCUCCUUAUGUGUACAAGUCACCACCACCGCCAUCUCCUUCACCACCACCUCCUUAUGUGUACAAGUCACCACCACCACCCUCACCUUCCCCACCACCACCAUACUACUACAAGAGUCCUCCACCACCUUCUCCUUCACCUCCACCUCCUUACUACUACAAAUCUCCUCCACCACCCUCACCUUCCCCACCACCACCAUACUAUUACAAGUCUCCUCCACCACCAUCUCCCUCACCUCCACCACCAUAUUACUACAAGUCUCCCCCACCACCCUCACCCUCCCCUCCACCCCCAUAUAUACACAAGGAUCCACCAUACUAUUACAAGUCCCCACCACCACCUUCACCAUCUCCUCCACCACCAUACUACUACAAAUCUCCCCCACCCCCUUCACCGUCUCCUCCACCACCAUACUACUACAAAUCUCCUCCUCCUCCAUCUCCUAUUCCCAAAACACCUUACUACUACAAAUCUCCCCCACCCCCUUCACCAUCUCCUCCACCACCAUACUACUACAAAUCUCCCCCACCCCCUUCACCGUCUCCUCCACCACCAUACUACUAUAAAUCUCCCCCACCACCGUCACCCUCUCCACCACCACCUUACUAUUACAAGUCUCCUCCCCCACCUUCACCAUCUCCUCCACCACCAUACUACUACAAAUCUCCUCCUCCUCCAUCUCCUAUUCCCCAUACACCUUACUAUUACAAAUCUCCCCCACCACCUUCACCAUCUCCUCCACCACCAUACUACUACAAAUCUCCUCCUCCUCCAUCUCCUAUUCCCCGUACACCUUACUAUUACAAAUCUCCCCCACCACCUUCACCAUCUCCUCCACCACCAUACUACUACAAAUCCCCUCCUCAUCCAUCUCCCAUUCCCCAUACACCUUACUAUUACACAUCUCCCCCACCACCUUCACCGUCUCCUCCACCACCAUAUUACUACAAAUCUCCUCCCCCUCCGUCUCCUAUUCCCCACACACCUUACUACUACAAGUCCCCACCACCACCAAAGGUCCUUCCACCACCAUACUAUUACAAUUCUCCUCCUCCACCUGUUGUGUAUCCUCACCCAUAUCCCUACCACCACUCACUUAUUGUGAGGGUAGUCGGUAAAGUCUACAGCUUCAGAUGUUAUGAUUGGAAUUAUCCUGCAAAGUCUCAUAACAAGAAACAUCUCAAAGGUACAUUACAUUUCUUAGGACCGGACCUCUUUAGAGUAAUGUGUUUAGAGAUAAUGCACAAUUUUUUAUUUUUUUAUCUCGUAAAGGUUUAUUUAUUAUAAUCACAAUUUCACUUUUGUCAAAAAGAAAAACAAUUUUACUAUAUAUAGUUUUAAUCAUUAACAUUUUGAUGUAAAAAGAAUACAAUUCUCUAUUACCUUUUUACUAUGAUAUAUAUACAAAGAUUAUUCAAAUCUAUAUAUCCAACCUAAUUUCCAUCCAAAAAAAUAGAAAACAUAGGGUGCUUUGAACGCCUGCAGCAUCACAUGAAUAAAUAAAAACAAUCAAUAAUCAACCUUGUUCUAAUUUAUUUUAGACAGCGAUUGUUAAGCAUACUGCUCUUUUAAUUACAUUUUUUUUAAAGAUGCUCUUUUAAUUAUAUUGUCCUAAUAUAAUAUGUGUCUUUAUAUAUUACUUGUCGUAAACUAAUUUUAUUAUGGGUGCAGGAGCUGUUGUUGAGGUGACAUGCAAAGCCGGGAGCAAAAUUGUCAAGGCUUAUGGAAAAACUAAGAACAAUGGAAAGUAUGCCAUCACAGUUAAGGACUUUGACUAUGUCAAAUAUGGUUCGACAGUGUGCAAGGCUGCCCUAUAUGCUCCACCUAAGGGUUCACCCUUCAACAUACCUACAAAGCUAAAUCAAGGAACAAAGUUGUACUUGAAAUCCAAAGACAAGUACGAGGUUGUGCUCAAGGCUAAGCCAUUUGCUUAUGCUUCAAAGAAACAUUUCAAAGAAUGUGAGAAGCCUAAGCCUUCACCAACUCCUUACUACUACAAAUCACCUCCACCUCCCUCACCAGUUUACAAAUACAACUCACCACCUCCACCGGUCCAUUAUUAUUCACCUCCAUACACCUACAAGUCACCUCCUCCCCCUGUGAAAGCGGCACCAACUCCUUACUACUACAAAUCACCUCCACCACCCGCACCGGUUUACAAGUACAACUCACCCCCUCCACCGGUCCAUUAUUAUUCACCACCAUAUACCUAUAAGUCACCUCCUCCCCCUGUGAAAGCGGCACCAACUCCUUACUACUACAAAUCACCUCCACCUCCCGCACCGGUUUACAAGUACAACUCCCCACCUCCACCGGUCCAUUAUUAUUCACCUCCAUAUACCUACAAGUCACCUCCUCCCCCUGUGAAAGUGGCACCAACUCCUUACUACUACAAAUCACCUCCACCACCCGCACCGGUUUACAAGUACAACUCACCACCUCCACCGGUCCAUUAUUAUUCUCCACCAUACUACUACAAGUCACCACCCCCACCAUCUCCAUCACCUCCUCCACCAUACUAUUUCAAAUACUAUUACAAGUCCCCACCUCCACCAUCACCAUCCCCUCCUCCACCUUAUUAUUACAAAUCUCCUCCUCCACCAAAACAAAUUUCACACCCUCCAUACUACUAUAAGUCACCACCCCCACCAUCACCAUCACCUCCUCCACCAUACUAUUAUAAGUCUCCACCUCCACCAUCACCAUCUCCCCCACCACCUUAUUAUUAUAAGUCACCACCCCCACCAUCCCCGUCCCCUCCUCCACCAUACUACUACAAGUCUCCACCUCCACCUAAAGAAAUAUCACAUCCUCCAUAUAACUAUAAGUCACCACCCCCACCAUCACCAUCCCCUCCCCCUCCAUACUAUUACAAAUCUCCUCCACCACCAUCACCAUCACCACCACCUCCCUACUAUUACAAAUCACCUCCACCACCAUCACCAUCACCUCCCCCUCCAUACUAUUACAAAUCUCCUCCACCACCAUCACCAUCACCACCACCUCCUUACUAUUACAAAUCACCUCCACCACCAUCCCCAUCACCACCACCUCCAUACUACUACAAAAGUCCCCCUCCACCAUCUCCAUCUCCUCCAUCCCCAUAUUACUACAAAUCUCCACCACCACCAUCACCAUCCCCACCCCCUCCCUACUAUUACAAAUCACCUCCACCUCCCUCACCAUCACCGCCACCUCCUUACUAUUACAAAUCACCUCCACCUCCCUCACCAUCACCGCCACCUCCUUACUAUUACAAAUCUCCCCCACCUCCAUCUCCAUCUCCACCACCUCCUUACCACUAUCAAAGUCCUCCUCCACCAUCUCCCAUUUCUCAUCCUCCCUACUACUACAAAUCCCCUCCACCACCAUCGCCGUCUCCUCCACCUCCUUACCACUAUGUGAGUCCUCCCCCACCAGUAAAGUCACCUCCACCACCAACUUAUAUCUAUGCUUCACCACCACCACCUCACUACAACUAAGCUCAAAGAGCAGAAGCUCCGUUCAUUAUAAAUCAUGUAAGUUUAUCAUCUUCAAUUUUCUGAAUGUGUGCGUGUGUAUUUGUUUUUUUGUUACAAGAUACUAACAAAAUUCUUUUCUUAUUUAUGUUCAGGUUUUAGUUUUCAUCUAGGAAUAAAGGCAAGCUCCAUUUGGAGUAAAGUGAAACUUCUAGCUUCGUGUCCGAAUUCGUUAAAUAAAUGUCGGGAUGUAUCGUCUUUGAGCUAUAAUAUUUCUGAUCCAGACAAUAUCUAUUUUGUUUCUUUGGUGGCAAUCUUGCACUUCCUGGUCUUAGUCUAUUCAAGUGACAGACAAAUCAAAAGGGAGAAGCGAGAUUAAUUUAUUUGUGAUCUCUUUGAUUUAUUUGUGCAUAUAUCAAUAUGAACGUGUAUGAUAUUUUUCUAUUUAUUGAAGAUUUUUUUACUGUAACCUGUUAUUGUGUUUGUCAAAAGGUGUUAAUAAAGAAUCACAUUCAAUUUCUGUUAAAUUAUCAGUAUUUGUUUCUUUCUAACAACUACCAUUCAUGCAAAUGUGGCUAUUAAAAAAAGCUCCAAUGACACAUAAAAAGCUUCCAAACAAUAUAUAAACAAAGAUGCAUUGUUUUCUGUUAAGAAGGGGACAGGGUUACGGUUACUUGUGUACCAAGUUAGUUAUCCAUGCUUUCUUGUUCAUAGGAUUUAUAUGGUGUAGUUGCACUUAGUUGCUAAAUGUAUGCAAGCUUUUCCUUUCUAUAAAUAAGCACACCUACUAUCAUUCUUCUCCACAUUCCUUUCUACUCUUCUAUCAUGAAUUGUUCAUCCACAUAAGAUGGUCACAGAGCACACCUAAUACUCUGCUACUGGUGUAUCAGUUCCUUUCCACCAGAAACUUAUGAUCUCUAAUUGAAAGAGAUCCUAAAGUUUUAAGAUUUCUACAAAAUACAUUAUUCUCAUUUUUGUACAAGUAUGAUACAAUUAUUCCCAAGUAUUAUUUAUUCUAAGGAAUAGAAUUUAGUUGUGGUUUCUCUAUUUAACCAACAUUUAUUUUUAAAUAACUAAAUUUAAAAAAAAAAUCCUGAAAUUAUUAAGUACAUACCUAACACAUUGUAAAAUUUUGUUCCCAAAGAAAAUAUUUUUGGCAAUAGAAUUUUCAGGAACUUCAUUCCUAGGAAUAUAAUUCUAUACUAAGAGAAGAGCUUAAGCAUUGAUACAUAACAAGACCAAUCCAUAUCCUAAUCACAAUCCUACUUUCACUAAAUACUUUCACUUAAGUGUGGUCUUGGAAAGGACAAAUGAAGAAAGACAUUCCAGAGGUAUGGUAAGGGACAAUAUCUGCAGUUAUGCACAUAUUGCAAGAUUGUGAGGAACUACCGGACUGAUUUGAUUCACCAAAAAAUUUGGAAUAAAUAUUUCAGCCCAGAACUCAGACAAUGACUGGAUUGGAACCUUUCAGCUUCUAAUAUCGGUACUGUCCAAGGAAAUAGUCAUUCUCUUUUUGGAGUAGCUGUGAAGGAUUUAUGGAAAGAUAGAACUAAGCUGGUCUUUUCUAGAAACACCGCGAUUGGAACUACUCUAUUUUGGCUUGUAGCCAAUCCGGCUAAGUUUAUUAACAAUGUAGUUUGUACUCAAGCUCACAGUCACGAUGUUGUCAGCAACAGUGGGCAUAUUGUUUAGGUAGCCUGGAAUUUUCCUCCCCAACACUUCUUCAAAGUGAAUAUGAUGGAUCUCUACGGGAUUAUGUUAGUUUCCAGGAUCGAACUCAGAACCUCCUGAUUAUAACUCCUUCAAUGUAUGUCCCUUACCCACGUGGGGCCUCGGCUGUAAUUGUUAACAUGGUAAAAUUUGGCUCUUCCAAUAAUGGUUUUAUCCAAACUCGAGGUUGUUUAUCGUCUCCAACAAUCAGAUUGGAGAAUACUAGUGGUUCAUGCAUUUGAACAAACCAACUGUUGUGCAGAUUUUCUAGUUGAUUUUGUUUUUCCUUUUUUGAGUAUUUUAUUAGCCAAUGAUAUAAGAGGUUGUAGCCUACCUCUUUUGAUUUCUUAAGACAAUCACUUUUGCAUUAGAAAAAAACGACCCUACAUAAAAUUAAUGAUUGAAUUAAGAUAUAACUUCAGUUUGAAAUAUUGUAAAAUUCUAUACCACCAAAAACUGAGAAUUUUAGAACCAUACAGGUUGGUGGAGUGGUCAUCCAGAUAACUUUAACAUAAUUAACAGUCCAAAAAGUAAAUAGCUUUAUCCUUUAUUUUCAAUCUGAUGUGAUUUACUCUUAUCUGUUAAACAUUAUAAUUAAGAAUCCAAAGGGAACACUCACCUAAUCUCUCUCUUUUUUCUAGCUUUUUCACUAAACCACUGUGUCUGUGGUUACCACAUUUCCUUAUGGAAUCAAUAUCCAAUUUAUGUUAAAAACCAUUUCUACAUUUUGUGUUAAAAAUGAUCUAAACAAAGAUGAUUUAUUUCUCUUAAAUUCAACAUAGAUCAUAUUUACAUGGUUCAAACUUUCUAUUACACGGCAUUGACUUAGUUGCUUCACAUGGGGACACAACUAAUGCAUAUAUUAUUUUAUAUGCUUAUAGUAAUUUUAACAAGUGGCAAUGGGGCAUAUGUUUUGUCAAAAAAACACAAAAAACAGGAGGCAUGUGCAACUGAAGUCACUGCCAGCUUGGCACUAAGAUAUAGUAAAAUAAUUGACAUUUGAAGAAAACAAAGACGUUGCUACAUUUCUAUUCAAACAAGCGACAUCAAUAUCAGACAAUGGUGCUACAUUUAAUAAUACUACAGCUAUCCCCAUAAGCACCUCUUAGAAAGAAAAAAAAAUAUCCAUUAAAUUAAUGUUGGAAGAGUUAGCAACAUGUCCUCUCCCAAAAAAACUCAUGUUUGAUUCCUAGAGUCGUCCAUUUCGAAAGAAGCUCAACCCUGAUAAUAAAAACCUAGAUGUUAUGCUGCAGACUUAAAGAUCAAUUUCAUAAUGGAUCCAAAGGGCCUAAGCUGUGUGGGAUACUUAAGGGGGUAUAUUGAGGCUAAGGGUCAAAGAUCUUAAUUAUGGUCGGUUAAAAAAAGAAGAAAAAAAAAUUAUCUCUAAAUAUAAAGUCAACAAUAUUUCAAAUUGCAAGAUACAUUUAUUUAUUUUUUAAAUAUGUAUAUACCUCUUAUUAAUACUUACUAAUUUGUUUUGAGUGAUAAAAAGUUACGAGUUAGACAGAUCAGCACAUAAAAAAAGUAUUUGAAAAACAUCUACCAACAAAAUAAACACAUUAAAAACAAUACUACUUUUUUACAAUACUGUAUGUGAAAAUGACAAAAUCUUGAAAAAGAUGGAGGUAACAUGUACUCUUUUUUUUUUAGAGGGGAGCAUGUACUUUUCCACUAACAAUGUUGAUAAGAAACAUAUAAAAUACUAUUAGAGAAAGAAAAAAAAUAAUAAAUAAAGAAAUAUAUAAAAUACUGAGGAAUGACUCACUCAUGUCAAAUUUUAGCAAGGGAGAAGUGAUAUCACAUCAUUUUAGAAGAGGAAUGAGAAUAGAUAGAUCUAAUUUUUCUAGUAAGUUUGAAUAGUAGAAUCAUACUUCUUUGUCUUUUGUGAAAAUUUCAUAUUAUGGGAUCUAUUACUAGAAUACAGGUGAUUUUAUUCUGGAAGAUUGACUUUUUAUUAAAAUAAAAUAAAAGUACAUUUUUUAUUUCCAAAUGCUUAGUUGUUCAUUUAUAAAUAUUACAUUAUCCAACAGCACCAAACCCUAUUUCAUAACGGUACUCUGCACGUUUCAUUCAUUUACUGGUGCCUUAGUUUUUUGUUACAAACAGACAUUGAUCAGAGGAACAAAUGUAGAGACAAAUUGAAGAUAAUAUAUCACAUAAUAUUGUAGACACACCUUCACAUACAAAUGGGGUAAAGUCCCUCAUAGUAGUAUUAGAAAUAACACUUAGAGUAAAAUUUUGCUAAAUUUAACAUGAAAAUAAGUGUAAUGUAUUUUAUAGGCAGCUAUACAUAAUUAUUAAUUAGAACAAUUUUUUACACUGUCAAACAAAAAUUGAACAAUUUUUUACUAGCUUUAUGCUUUAUGAUGUUUUGAUUCCAUGUGCACAUUUCAAUUUUAGAACUAUUCCUUUCUAUGUUACUGAAAUAAUUCUAUCAUUAGGCAUUGACAUUUCCAUUAUGCGUGCACGUUAAAGUGUUUUCCCAAACAGAGAAAUAUUAAGAAAGGUUAAACUUUUGACUUAAAGACACAACUAAAAUAAGAUCCAAGGAAAACCCCAUUGAUUAUUUCUUGCACAAAAUUAAAAACCCCAUUGAUUAUUUCUUGCACAAAAUUAAAAUGCUAAUAAUUUUUCCUGGUCUAUAUUUUUCUCCUUCCGGGAAAUGGCAACAUCACAUGUUCAUCUCAUAAUUGAGAAAACACAUGUCUGGGAAAAUAUCUUAAAGAAAAGGCAGUAAAGUAAUAAAAAGUGCACCAAAUAGAGAUUAACUAGUACUCUUUGCAUGUCAACUAAGUGGUAUAAUUAUGUAUAUCACAUUCUUAAUAUUGAUUAUCUUGAUUGCACGAUAAGCCCCUCAAAUUGCUCAAUCGAUGAUUGCUUGAUAAGCCCAUCAAAUUGCCCAAUCGAUCGAAUCGUAACUUUCGAUAGACAUUUUUUUUAAGAAAACCCAAUUGGAUCAUAACUCCCCAUAGUCAUUUAUUUGAAAUUGUGAGCAAUUUGAUAACUUAUUGAGCAAUCACCAUUGAUUUUAGUCUCAAUUUAUCCUAAUGUUGUAACCCUGGAAUAAUGGAACAGUGAGUAAAUUUGGUUUCUCCGUCUCAAAAUAAGUGUCACAAUUUAACCAUGUGCACUACUCAUCAAAUCUACUUUGACAACAUUUUUUUUACUAAUAUAUAAAGACAAUGUUAGUACAUUACAUGUUCGAUUUGUCUUAGUUAAUGUUUUUAAAAUAUCGACUUUAUUAUAAUUUUUCUUAAUAGACAAUCAAAAAUAUCAAUUGUCAAAAUUGUGUAUUGAUAUGUAUGAAAAUCAAACUAUAACACUUACUUUGAGACGAAGAGAAUAACUAUUAAAAACUAAUGUUCAAAUAGAAAGAAAAGAAAACAAAGAUUCCAUACAAAGCUUGCAAAAUAGCUACAAUCAUAACCUAGAACAAAAAUCAUGACCACACACUAUAUCCAUUUUCCUUUUCCUAAAAAGCAAUUGAAGAUAAAAAAAAAAAAAAUAAUAAAUAAAAAAAAAAAAAAAAAAAAAAAAAANACCACCAUACUACUACAAAUCCCCACCUCCACCAUCGCCUUCUCCUCCACCACCAUACUACUACAAAUCCCCACCUCCACCAUCGCCUUCUCCUCCACCACCAUACUACUACAAAUCCCCACCUCCACCAUCGCCUUCUCCUCCACCACCAUACUACUACAAAUCCCCACCUCCACCAUCGCCUUCUCCUCCACCACCAUACUACUACAAAUCCCCACCUCCACCAUCGCCUUCUCCUCCACCACCAUACUACUACAAAUCCCCACCUCCACCAUCGCCUUCUCCUCCACCACCAUACUACUACAAAUCCCCACCUCCACCAUCGCCUUCUCCUCCACCACCAUACUACUACAAAUCCCCACCUCCACCAUCGCCUUCUCCUCCACCACCAUACUACUACAAAUCCCCACCUCCACCAUCGCCUUCUCCUCCACCACCAUACUACUACAAAUCCCCACCUCCACCAUCGCCUUCUCCUCCACCACCAUACUACUACAAAUCCCCACCUCCACCAUCGCCUUCUCCUCCACCACCAUACUACUACAAAUCCCCACCUCCACCAUCGCCUUCUCCUCCACCACCAUACUACUACAAAUCCCCACCUCCACCAUCGCCUUCUCCUCCACCACCAUACUACUACAAAUCCCCACCUCCACCAUCGCCUUCUCCUCCACCACCAUACUACUACAAAUCCCCACCUCCACCAUCGCCUUCUCCUCCACCACCAUACUACUACAAAUCCCCACCUCCACCAUCGCCUUCUCCUCCACCACCAUACUACUACAAAUCCCCACCUCCACCAUCGCCUUCUCCUCCACCACCAUACUACUACAAAUCCCCACCUCCACCAUCGCCUUCUCCUCCACCACCAUACUACUACAAAUCCCCACCUCCACCAUCGCCUUCUCCUCCACCACCAUACUACUACAAAUCCCCACCUCCACCAUCGCCUUCUCCUCCACCACCAUACUACUACAAAUCCCCACCUCCACCAUCGCCUUCUCCUCCACCACCAUACUACUACAAAUCCCCACCUCCACCAUCGCCUUCUCCUCCACCACCAUACUACUACAAAUCCCCACCUCCACCAUCGCCUUCUCCUCCACCACCAUACUACUACAAAUCCCCACCUCCACCAUCGCCUUCUCCUCCACCACCAUACUACUACAAAUCCCCACCUCCACCAUCGCCUUCUCCUCCACCACCAUACUACUACAAAUCCCCACCUCCACCAUCGCCUUCUCCUCCACCACCAUACUACUACAAAUCCCCACCUCCACCAUCGCCUUCUCCUCCACCACCAUACUACUACAAAUCCCCACCUCCACCAUCGCCUUCUCCUCCACCACCAUACUACUACAAAUCCCCACCUCCACCAUCGCCUUCUCCUCCCCCACCUUACUAUUACAAAUCCCCACCGCCACCUUCACCAUCUCCCCCACCACCCUACUACUAUAAAUCACCCCCACCACCUUCACCAUCUCCUCCACCACCAUACUACUACAAAUCAC
This 10419-nucleotide long non-coding RNA is filed under the name Medicago truncatula (barrel medic). RNAcentral's name for it is "long non-coding RNA (MTRU_LNC000785)". The record is from RNAcentral. Lineage: Eukaryota; Viridiplantae; Streptophyta; Magnoliopsida; Fabales; Fabaceae.